RNAcentral lists this ribosomal RNA (470 nucleotides) under uncultured bacterium. RNAcentral's name for it is "SSU rRNA". It matches the Rfam family "Bacterial small subunit ribosomal RNA", at positions 26 to 518 of the family's 1533-position model. The record is from RNAcentral.
AGAACGAACGCUGGCGGCAGGCUUAACACAUGCAAGUCGAACGCGUGUAGCAAUACACGAGUGGCGCACGGGUGAGUAACGCGUGGAUAUCUGCCUUUUGGUUCGGAAUAACCCCGGGAAACUGGGGCUAAUACCGGAUGGUUCCUACGGGAUAAAGAUUUAUCGCCAAAAGAUGAGUCCGCGUACGAUUAGCUAGUUGGUGAGGUAAUGGCUCACCAAGGCGACGAUCGUUAGCUGGUCUGAGAGGACGAUCAGCCACACUGGGACUGAGACACGGCCCAGACUCCUACGGGAGGCAGCAGUAGGGAAUCUUGCGCAAUGGGCGAAAGCCUGACGCAGCGACGCCGCGUGAGGGAAGAAGGCCUUCGGGUUGUAAACCUCUUUCAGGAGGGACGAAGCCACUCGGGUUAAUAGCCUAGAGGGUGACGGUACCUCAGAAGAGCCCCGGCUAACUACGCGCCAGCAGCCGC